This 254-nucleotide ribosomal RNA is filed under the name uncultured bacterium. Its description in RNAcentral is "partial 16S ribosomal RNA". It matches the Rfam family "Bacterial small subunit ribosomal RNA", at positions 524 to 776 of the family's 1533-position model. The record is from RNAcentral.
UACGUAGGCAGCAAGCGUUGUUCGGAGUUACUGGGCGUAAAGAGCGCGCAGGCGGUCGAUCAAGUCGAGUGUGAAAGCCCCCCGGCUCAACUGGGGAGGGUCAUUCGAUACUGAUCGACUCGAAGGCAGGAGAGGGUAGUGGAAUUCCCGGUGUAGUGGUGAAAUGCGUAGAUAUCGGGAGGAACACCAGUGGCGAAGGCGACUACCUGGCCUGUUCUUGACGCUGAGGCGCGAAAGCUAGGGGAGCAAACGGG